UACGGGGGGGGCAAGCGUUGUUCGGAAUUACUGGGCGUAAAGCGUGCGCAGGCGGUGAUGUAAGACAGAUGUGAAAUCCCAGGGCUCAACCUUGGAACUGCAUUUGUGACUGCAUCGCUGGAGUGCGGCAGAGGGGGAUGGAAUUCCGCGUGUAGCAGUGAAAUGCGUAGAUAUGCGGAGGAACACCGAUGGCGAAGGCAAUCCCCUGGGCCUGCACUGACGCUCAUGCACGAAAGCGUGGGGAGCAAACAGG
RNAcentral lists this ribosomal RNA (253 nucleotides) under uncultured bacterium. RNAcentral describes it as "partial 16S ribosomal RNA". It matches the Rfam family "Bacterial small subunit ribosomal RNA", at positions 524 to 776 of the family's 1533-position model. The record is from RNAcentral.